Molecule: ribosomal RNA, 497 nt
Filed under: uncultured bacterium
Lineage: Bacteria
Description: partial 16S ribosomal RNA
Rfam family: Bacterial small subunit ribosomal RNA
Source: RNAcentral
GAUGAACGCUGGCGGCGUGCCUAAUACAUGCAAGUCGAGCGAACAGAUAAGGAGCUUGCUCCUUUGACGUUAGCGGCGGACGGGUGAGUAACACGUGGGUAACCUACCUAUAAGACUGGAAUAACUCCGGGAAACCGGGGCUAAUGCCGGAUAACAUUUAGAACCGCAUGGUUCUAAAGUGAAAGAUGGUUUUGCUAUCACUUAUAGAUGGACCCGCGCCGUAUUAGCUAGUUGGUAAGGUAACGGCUUACCAAGGCAACGAUACGUAGCCGACCUGAGAGGGUGAUCGGCCACACUGGAACUGAGACACGGUCCAGACUCCUACGGGAGGCAGCAGUAGGGAAUCUUCGGCAAUGGGCGAAAGCCUGACGGAGCAACGCCGCGUGAGUGAUGAAGGUCUUCGGAUCGUAAAACUCUGUUAUUAGGGAAGAACAAAUGUGUAAGUAACUGUGCACGUCUUGACGGUACCUAAUCAGAAAGCCACGGCUAACUACGUG